AUUGAACGCUGGCGGCAUGCCUUACACAUGCAAGUCGAACGGCAGCGGGGGAGAAGCUUGCUUUUCCUGCCGGCGAGUGGCGAACGGGUGAGUAAUACAUCGGAACGUGCCCUGUAGUGGGGGAUAACUAGUCGAAAGAUUAGCUAAUACCGCAUACGACUUGAGGGUGAAAGUGGGGGACCGCAAGGCCUCAUGCUAUAGGAGCGGCCGAUGUCUGAUUAGCUAGUUGGUGGGGUAAAGGCCUAUCAAGGCGACGAUCAGUAGCUGGUCUGAGAGGACGAUCAGCCACACUGGGACUGAGACACGGCCCAGACUCCUACGGGAGGCAGCAGUGGGGAAUUUUGGACAAUGGGCGAAAGCCUGAUCCAGCAAUGCCGCGUGUGUGAAGAAGGCCUUCGGGUUGUAAAGCACUUUUGUCCGGAAAGAAAUGGCUCUGGUUAAUACCUGGGGUCGAUGACGGUACCGGAAGAAUAAGGACCAGCUAACUACGUGCCAGCCGCCGCCGUAA
Molecule: ribosomal RNA, 508 nt
Filed under: uncultured bacterium
Lineage: Bacteria
Description: partial 16S ribosomal RNA
Rfam family: Bacterial small subunit ribosomal RNA
Source: RNAcentral